GACUCUCGGCAACGGAUAUCUCGGCUCUCGCAUCGAUGAAGAACGUAGCGAAAUGCGAUACUUGGUGUGAAUUGCAGAAUCCCGUGAACCAUCGAGUCUUUGAACGCAAGUUGCGCCCGAAGCUGUUAGGCUGAGGGCACGCCUGCCUGGGUGUCGCACAUCGUUGCC
Molecule: ribosomal RNA, 168 nt
Filed under: Poecilanthe itapuana
Lineage: Eukaryota; Viridiplantae; Streptophyta; Magnoliopsida; Fabales; Fabaceae
Description: 5.8S ribosomal RNA
Rfam family: 5.8S ribosomal RNA
About the family: 5.8S ribosomal RNA (5.8S rRNA) is a component of the large subunit of the eukaryotic ribosome. It is transcribed by RNA polymerase I as part of the 45S precursor that also contains 18S and 28S rRNA.
Source: RNAcentral